RNAcentral lists this ribosomal RNA (253 nucleotides) under uncultured bacterium. Its description in RNAcentral is "partial 16S ribosomal RNA". It matches the Rfam family "Bacterial small subunit ribosomal RNA", at positions 524 to 776 of the family's 1533-position model. The record is from RNAcentral.
UACAGAGGUCUCAAGCGUUGUUCGGAUUCAUUGGGCGUAAAGGGCGCGUAGGCGGCCGGGUUGGUCGUGGGUGAAAUCCCCCAGCUUAACUGGGGAACUGCCUACGAUACUGCCUGGCUCGAGGGAGGAAGGGGCGGUCGGAACUGUCGGUGGAGCGGUGAAAUGCGUUGAUAUCGACAGGAACGCCGGUGGCGAAAGCGGACCGCUGGCCCUCUUCUGACGCUGAGGCGCGAAAGCCAGGGGAGCGAACGGG